This 137-nucleotide ribosomal RNA is filed under the name uncultured eukaryote. RNAcentral describes it as "partial 18S ribosomal RNA". It matches the Rfam family "Eukaryotic small subunit ribosomal RNA", at positions 1299 to 1458 of the family's 1831-position model. The record is from RNAcentral.
UGGUGGAGUGAUUUGUCUGCUUAAUUGCGAUAACGAACGAGACCUUAACCUGCUAAAUAGCCAGGCUAGCUUUGGCAGUACGCUGGCUUCUUAGAGGGACUAUCGGCUCAAGCCGAUGGAAGUUUGAGGCAAUAACA